UACAUGGGGUGCAAACGUUGCUCGGAAUUAUUGGGCCUAAAGCAUCCGUAGCCGGUCCUACAAGUCUUCCGUUAAAUCCACCUGCUUAACAGAUGGGCUGCGGAAGAUACUAUAGGGCUAGGAGGCGGGAGAGGCAAGCGGUACUCAGUGGGUAGGGGUAAAAUCCUCUGAUCCAUUGAAGACCACCAGUGGCGAAGGCGGCUUGCCAGAACGCGCUCGACGGUGAGGGAUGAAAGCUGGGGGAGCAAACCGG
This 253-nucleotide ribosomal RNA is filed under the name uncultured bacterium. RNAcentral's name for it is "partial 16S ribosomal RNA". It matches the Rfam family "Bacterial small subunit ribosomal RNA", at positions 524 to 776 of the family's 1533-position model. The record is from RNAcentral.